Molecule: ribosomal RNA, 650 nt
Filed under: uncultured bacterium
Lineage: Bacteria
Description: bacterial SSU rRNA
Rfam family: Bacterial small subunit ribosomal RNA
Source: RNAcentral
AGAGUUUGAUCAUGGCUCAGAUUGAACGCUGGCGGCAGGCCUAACACAUGCAAGUCGAACGGUAGCAGGAUGUGCUUGCACAUCGCUGACGAGUGGCGGACGGGUGAGUAAUGCUUGGGAACUUGCCUUUGCGAGGGGGAUAACAGUUGGAAACGACUGCUAAUACCGCAUAAUGUCUACGGACCAAACGGGGCUUAGGCUCCGGCGCAGAGAGAGGCCCAAGUGAGAUUAGCUAGUUGGUGGGGUAAAGGCUCACCAAGGCAACGAUCUCUAGCUGUUCUGAGAGGAAGAUCAGCCACACUGGGACUGAGACACGGCCCAGACUCCUACGGGAGGCAGCAGUGGGGAAUAUUGCACAAUGGGGGAAACCCUAAUGCAGCCAUGCCGCGUGUGUGAAGAAGGCCUUCGGGUUGUAAAGCACUUUCAGUUGUGAGGAAAAGUUAGUAGUUAAUACCUGCUAGCCGUGACGUUAACAACAGAAGAAGCACCGGCUAACUCCGUGCCAGCAGCCGCGGUAAUACGGAGGGUGCGAGCGUUAAUCGGAAUUACUGGGCGUAAAGCGCACGCAGGCGGUUUGUUAAGCUAGAUGUGAAAGCCCCGGGCUCAACCUGGGAUGGUCAUUUAGAACUGGCAGACUAGAGUCUUGGAGA